GGUCAAGUGAAGAAGCGCAUACGGUGGAUGCCUUGGCAGUCAGAGGCGAUGAAAGACGUGGUAGCCUGCGAAAAGCUUCGGGGAGUCGGCAAACAGACUUUGAUCCGGAGAUGUCUGAAUGGGGGAACCCAGCCAUCAUAAGAUGGUUACCUUACACUGAAUACAUAGGUGUAUGGAGCGAACCAGGGGAACUGAAACAUCUAAGUACCCUGAGGAAAAGAAAUCAACCGAGAUUCCCUUAGUAGUGGCGAGCGAACGGGGACUAGCCCUUAAGUGGCUUUGAGAUUAGCGGAACGCUCUGGAAAGUGCGGCCAUAGUGGGUGAUAGCCCUGUACGCGAAAAUCUCUUAGUCAUGAAAUCGAGUAGGACGGAGCACGAGAAACUUUGUCUGAAUAUGGGGGGACCAUCCUCCAAGGCUAAAUACUACUGACUGACCGAUAGUGAACUAGUACCGUGAGGGAAAGGCGAAAAGAACCCCGGAGAGGGGAGUGAAAUAGAUCCUGAAACCGUAUGCGUACAAGCAGUGGGAGCCCACUUUGUUGGGUGACUGCGUACCUUUUGUAUAAUGGGUCAGCGACUUAUUUUCAGUGGCGAGCUUAACCGAAUAGGGGAGGCGUAGCGAAAGCGAGUCUUAAUAGGGCGUCUAGUCGCUGGGAAUAGACCCGAAACCGGGCGAUCUAUCCAUGGGCAGGUUGAAGGUUGGGUAACACUAACUGGAGGACCGAACCGACUACCGUUGAAAAGUUAGCGGAUGACCUGUGGAUCGGAGUGAAAGGCUAAUCAAGCUCGGAGAUAGCUGGUUCUCCUCGAAAGCUAUUUAGGUAGCGCCUCAUGUAUCACUGUAGGGGGUAGAGCACUGUUUCGGCUAGGGGGUCAUCCCGACUUACCAAACCGAUGCAAACUCCGAAUACCUACAAGUGCCGAGCAUGGGAGACACACGGCGGGUGCUAACGUCCGUCGUGAAAAGGGAAACAACCCAGACCGUCAGCUAAGGUCCCAAAGUUAUGGUUAAGUGGGAAACGAUGUGGGAAGGCUUAGACAGCUAGGAGGUUGGCUUAGAAGCAGCCACCCUUUAAAGAAAGCGUAAUAGCUCACUAGUCGAGUCGGCCUGCGCGGAAGAUGUAACGGGGCUCAAACCAUACACCGAAGCUACGGGUAUCACGUAAGUGAUGCGGUAGAGGAGCGUUCUGUAAGCCUGUGAAGGUGAGUUGAGAAGCUUGCUGGAGGUAUCAGAAGUGCGAAUGCUGACAUGAGUAACGACAAUGGGUGUGAAAAACACCCACGCCGAAAGACCAAGGUUUCCUGCGCAACGUUAAUCGACGCAGGGUUAGUCGGUCCCUAAGGCGAGGCUGAAAAGCGUAGUCGAUGGAAAACAGGUUAAUAUUCCUGUACUUCUGGUUAUUGCGAUGGAGGGACGGAGAAGGCUAGGCCAGCUUGGCGUUGGUUGUCCAAGUUUAAGGUGGUAGGCUGGAAUCUUAGGUAAAUCCGGGAUUCUAAGGCCGAGAGCUGAUGACGAGUCGUCUUUUAGACGACGAAGUGGUUGAUGCCAUGCUUCCAAGAAAAGCUUCUAAGCUUCAGGUAACCAGGAACCGUACCCCAAACCGACACAGGUGGUUGGGUAGAGAAUACCAAGGCGCUUGAGAGAACUCGGGUGAAGGAACUAGGCAAAAUGGCACCGUAACUUCGGGAGAAGGUGCGCCGGUGAGGGUGAAGGACUUGCUCCGUAAGCUCAUGCCGGUCGAAGAUACCAGGCCGCUGCGACUGUUUAUUAAAAACACAGCACUCUGCAAACACGAAAGUGGACGUAUAGGGUGUGACGCCUGCCCGGUGCCGGAAGGUUAAUUGAUGGGGUUAGCUAACGCGAAGCUCUUGAUCGAAGCCCCGGUAAACGGCGGCCGUAACUAUAACGGUCCUAAGGUAGCGAAAUUCCUUGUCGGGUAAGUUCCGACCUGCACGAAUGGCGUAACGAUGGCGGCGCUGUCUCCACCCGAGACUCAGUGAAAUUGAAAUCGCUGUGAAGAUGCAGUGUAUCCGCGGCUAGACGGAAAGACCCCGUGAACCUUUACUAUAGCUUUGCACUGGACUUUGAAUUUGCUUGUGUAGGAUAGGUGGGAGGCUUUGAAGCGUGGACGCCAGUCUGCGUGGAGCCAACCUUGAAAUACCACCCUGGCAACUUUGAGGUUCUAACUCAGGUCCGUUAUCCGGAUCGAGGACAGUGUAUGGUGGGUAGUUUGACUGGGGCGGUCUCCUCCUAAAGAGUAACGGAGGAGUACGAAGGUGCGCUCAGACCGGUCGGAAAUCGGUCGUAGAGUAUAAAGGCAAAAGCGCGCUUGACUGCGAGACAGACACGUCGAGCAGGUACGAAAGUAGGUCUUAGUGAUCCGGUGGUUCUGUAUGGAAGGGCCAUCGCUCAACGGAUAAAAGGUACUCCGGGGAUAACAGGCUGAUACCGCCCAAGAGUUCAUAUCGACGGCGGUGUUUGGCACCUCGAUGUCGGCUCAUCACAUCCUGGGGCUGAAGCCGGUCCCAAGGGUAUGGCUGUUCGCCAUUUAAAGUGGUACGCGAGCUGGGUUUAGAACGUCGUGAGACAGUUCGGUCCCUAUCUGCCGUGGACGUUUGAGAUUUGAGAGGGGCUGCUCCUAGUACGAGAGGACCGGAGUGGACGAACCUCUGGUGUUCCGGUUGUCACGCCAGUGGCAUUGCCGGGUAGCUAUGUUCGGAAUAGAUAACCGCUGAAAGCAUCUAAGCGGGAAACUAGCCUCAAGAUGAGAUCUCACUGGAACCUUGAGUUCCCUGAAGGGCCGUCGAAGACUACGACGUUGAUAGGUUGGGUGUGUAAGCGCUGUGAGGCGUUGAGCUAACCAAUACUAAUUGCCCGUGAGGCUUGACCAUAU
RNAcentral lists this ribosomal RNA (2894 nucleotides) under Pseudomonas orientalis. RNAcentral's name for it is "23S ribosomal RNA". It matches the Rfam family "Bacterial large subunit ribosomal RNA". Lineage: Bacteria; Pseudomonadati; Pseudomonadota; Gammaproteobacteria; Pseudomonadales; Pseudomonadaceae. The record is from RNAcentral. RNAcentral also lists the same sequence under 1 other name.